AUUGAACGCUAGCGGCAUGCUUUACACAUGCAAGUCGAACGGUAACAGGCCUUCGGGUGCUGACGAGUGGCGAACGGGUGAGUAAUGCAUCGGAACGUGCCCAGAGGUGGGGGAUAACGCAGCGAAAGCUGUGCUAAUACCGCAUGUGAUCUGAGGAUGAAAGCGGGGGACCAGGCAGCAAUGUUUGGCCUCGCGCCUUUGGAGCGGCCGAUGUCAGAUUAGGUAGUUGGUGGGGUAAAGGCCUACCAAGCCGACGAUCUGUAGCUGGUCUGAGAGGACGACCAGCCACACUGGGACUGAGACACGGCCCAGACUCCUACGGGAGGCAGCAGUGGGGAAUUUUGGACAAUGGGCGCAAGCCUGAUCCAGCAAUGCCGCGUGCGGGAAGAAGGCCUUCGGGUUGUAAACCGCUUUUGUACGGAACGAAAAGGCUCUGGCUAAUACCUGGGGCUGAUGACGGUACCGUAAGAAUAAGCACCGGCUAACUACGUG
Molecule: ribosomal RNA, 492 nt
Filed under: uncultured bacterium
Lineage: Bacteria
Description: partial 16S ribosomal RNA
Rfam family: Bacterial small subunit ribosomal RNA
Source: RNAcentral